RNAcentral lists this long non-coding RNA (5522 nucleotides) under Malus domestica (apple). Its description in RNAcentral is "long non-coding RNA (MDOM_LNC014420)". Lineage: Eukaryota; Viridiplantae; Streptophyta; Magnoliopsida; Rosales; Rosaceae. The record is from RNAcentral.
AUUGGAUAUAUAUGCCAGGUGUAUUGGAUAUUAUGAUAGGUGUAUUGAAUGUAUGCUAGGUCAUUAAAGACUGCCACAUCAGCAGCAGCUUAGGACAUAGACCAUUGUUUGGUGAACCGCCUAUAUAGAGUAAUAGCUCCUUGUAUUAGAUAAGUUUGGUUGUAAUAACAGUUUUUUGAGAUAUCAGAAAUACAUCUUUCUUCUCCUCUAAGCUUCUUCAUGCUUUUCAAUUCUGCAAUUCUUUCAUGAAGGUUAAGAUGGUAUCACGAGCUUAGAAUCGCUUGCGCUCUUGGUGCUGGGUUAAUUUUCCGCUGCUCAAUUGAAUUUUGAUGGUGAUUUCGUUCCCUUUUCCUCUGUUAUUUGGUGCGAUAUAGCUGUACAGUUUUGCAGUUCUUGAUGUUUGUGAUUUUUUUUUUUGAAAUUGAUGAAUGUUUGAAGGCCGAUGCCGUACCGUAAAUCAUUACUAUUUUGUUGAUUGUUGAGAUGUUCCGAGGCCGAUGCCAAGAAUGAAGUGUUGUUAUGAUUUUCUUGAUUCUUUGAUGAAGGCCGAUGCCAUGUAUUUGAUUCUUGAAGAUUUAUAGAUUGUUAUAGUUUGGAAAUUGAUUUGUUGGUGGUUUCUUCAUUAGUGCUCUGGUUUUUUGGGCGAAAUUUGGCUACUUUUUCAUCUGGGUUUUUCUUGUUGUGGUGCAAUUUUCUCUGGGUAUAGGUUGAUAUCAUGUUUUGAUCUUUUGGGAAAAUCUUCCUGCUAGUAAUCAUGUCGACUUCUGUAAAGAUUGAGAGUUUGUUGGGAAUGCUCACUAUUAAGCUCAAUGAUGAAAACUUUAUCAAAUGGAGUUUUCAAUUUUGUUCUGUGCUUCGUGGAUACGAUCUUCUUGAUCAUUUCACGGGUGAAUCAGUUUGUCCUCCCAAGUUUGUUCUUAUUCCUGAUCUUGGUGUUACGAACGAAAUUAGUAUUACUUAUAAAGAAUGGGUUAAGAAAGAUAUGGCAUUGCUUAGUCUUUUAAUUGCUACACUAAGUGAUGAUGCGAUUGAGCAUGUAGUGGGAUGUAAGACUUCAUAUGAGGCCUGGACAGCUUUGCAAGAUCGCUAUAUGUCUGUUUCUAAAGCUAGUGUGAACCAUUUGAAAGCUGAAUUACACACUAUGCAGAAGGGUGGUGAUUCUAUUGAUAAAUACUUGCUGAGAUUAAAGGGUAUUAAGGAUCAACUACAAGCAGCUGGUGAAAAGGUUUGUGAUAAUGAUCUUAUAAUCGCUGCUCUUACUGGUUUACCUCCUGACUAUGAUAUCAGUCGAAUGGUAAUGGUCCUAUUGCUGGAAAUGGUUUUUCAUCCAAUUCUAAUAAUGGUGGUAAUCAAGGGCAGAGAUAUUUUGGUACUAGCUCUAACUCAUACAGGCCUAAAGGAAAUGGGGGUUAUAAGCAGAGGUUCAAUGGAUCUAACAGAGGUAAUUCUUGGCAAUCCUGGUCAGGAAACACUUCGAAUAGAUUUGAUGCGAUUCCAGAGUGUCAAAUUUGCUCCAGAAAAGGUCAUGUUGCGGUUACAUGUUUGUACAUAAACGAUAAUGGACAGCCAAUACAAGAGUGUCAAAUUUGUGGUAAGAAAGGGCAUAUUGCUCUCAAUUGCAGGCAUAGAAGUAACUAUGCAUAUCAAGGCACUCCACCUCCAGCUUCUUUAUCUGCCAAUUAUGCCAAUCAAGGGUUUCAUCCUCAGAAUCCAUCUUAUGUUUCAUUAUUUCCCACUGCAUCACAGUAUAUCUCUCCAAGCAAUUUCCCUCAAUUUACUCAGUAUUCAACUCAGAAUCCUGCAGUUCCAUAUUCAUUUCAAAUCAUGCCUAAGGGUAAUUUGCCUUCUCCUCAACCUUUCUUUCCAGCAAUGACAGCUCAGAAUUCUAAUGAGUCUGCAGGAGGUGACUCGUGGAUUGUAGACACAGGAGCAUCUCAUCACAUGAGUCCUGAUGUAACUGUCCUAACUCGAGCUGCUCCCUAUGAAGGCACUGAGAAGAUUGUUGUAGGCAAUGGUGAAGGUCUGGACGUUAAACACAUUGGUCAUGGCACUUUGCAAACUCAAUCUCAUAUGUUACAUCUCAAAAACAUACUACAUGUCCCUAUGUUAACUGUUAACUUACUUUCUGUCAAGAAGCUUUGUGCCGAUAAUCACAGUUGGUUUAUUUGUGAUGAAUCACAGUUUUUUGUGCAGGACAAGGCAACAGGGGUGCUUCUACAUCACGGAAAGAGUAGCAAUAAUGAACUAUUCAAGAUUCCAGUCCAUGUUUUUCCAACAGUGAUGAGCUCAGGUGCUAUUUCUCAAGCUUCUGGUUUCUUGGGACAUGCAGUAAAAUCAUCUUUGUGGCAUCAGAGAUUGGGUCAUCCAUCCAAUGACAUUUUAGCUACUAUGCUUAAGCAUUCUAAUAUUUCUUGUACUACUGAUGAUAAUUCUAGUAUCUGUUCACAUUGUAUAAGUGGGAAAAUGAGCAGAUUACCUUUCUUAGACAAGAUAGAUAAAGUUGAUAUCCCAUUUUACAAAAUUCAUAGUGAUGUUUGGGGACCAUCUCCUACUAUUUCUCUGGAAGGCUAUAGAUACUAUGUGUCCUUUAUAGAUGAAGCCACUAGGUUUGUAUGGAUAUUCCCGUUAAUAAAUAAAGCUGCAGUUUUUGGUUCAUUUCUCAAAUUUUGUGCGUAUGUUGACAAUCAGUUUCAUGCUAGAAUUAAGAUUUUACAAACUGAUGGUGGUGGUGAGUUUAUGAGCAAUGUGUUUAAGACUUAUCUGGAUAAUAAUGGAAUAUUGCAUCAUAUAUCUUGUCCCUCCUAUACACCUCAGCAGAAUGGAUUGGCCGAAAGGAAACAUCGGCAUCUCAUUGAAACAGCAAUUACUCUUUUAUCUGUUGCUAAGCUUCCACAAAGGUUUUGGUUUUAUGCGGUUGCACAUGCUGUCUUUCUCAUCAAUCGAAUGCCAUGUAAGAUACUCAAGAUGGACUCUCCGUUUAGUAAGUUGUUUGGUCAGCAACCUGAGUUGGGAUCAUUGAGAGUAUUUGGAUCUGCCAUUUAUCCUUACUUGAGGCCCUAUAAUAUUCAUAAGUUACAACCUAGGUCCACACAAUGUGUAUUUCUAGGUUAUUCUUCCGGAUAUAAGGGUGCUCUUUGCUAUAAUAUAGUGACUGGCAAGGUGAUUAUUUCAAGGCAUGUAUUAUAUGAUGAAAAUUGUUUUCCUUAUAAGGAUUUAGAGCCUAUCAAGAGUUCUAUUCAGUCUCAGUCUCCUGAUAUACAGAGUUCAAGGCCUAUAAUUGUUACACUGCCUUCUCCAGCAUCUAUACCUCACACUGAAUCUUCACAUCAGUUCAAUAGUCCUGGAGUGCAUCACUCAUCUACAUCAACCUCAGCUACUGUUAGUUCUCACAGGUUAUCAUCAUCAUCUCAGGACUCUGGAUCCAAUGCUACAAAUAGUUCAAAUGCUACUCUUUCCAAUUCUACCCCAACGUUGCCUGUCCUCCAAUCCAGCCAGCUUCAGGUUGUUUUACCAAGUCUUGCUUCUCCAAUUGCAAUUCCUUCACAAUCUGAUUCUCUACCACAGGGCAUUCAAACUAGAUUGAAAACUGGUACAAUUUCAAGACAGGAUUAUUCCGCUCUCACUGCCAAUUUUCCUGAAGUGCAGUCCUUAACUUUAAGUGAAAAUAGUCCUUUUUCUGGAGGGUUUACAUUUGUUGCAGAUAUUGUUGAUGCUUCAGAACCUACAACAUUUAAACAAGCUUCUCAGAUUCCUCAAUGGCAGGUUGCCAUGCAAGAAGAAUUUGACGCACUACAAACUCAAGGUACUUGGGUUCUUGUCCCUUCUUCUUCUGGUAAAAAUGUUAUAGGCAGUAAGUGGGUCUAUAAAAUUAAAAGGAAUUCUGAUGGUACAAUAUCUCGAUACAAGGCUAGGCUUGUUACUCAAGGCUUUAGUCAACAGAAAGGUUUGGACUACACAGAGACUUUUAGUCCAGUGGUUAGACACACCACUGUGCGCUUGAUCUUAGCUUUAGCUGCAACACAUAAAUGGGAUCUUAGGCAGCUGGAUGUAAAAAAUGCAUUCCUUCACGGCGACUUGCAAGAGGAGGUUUAUAUGAAACAGCCUAGAGGUUUUGUGCAUCCUGAUUACCCUACACAUGUUUGUAAGUUAGUAAAGUCUUUAUAUGGGCUUAAACAAGCCCCUCGGGCUUGGAAUAAUAAAUUCACCAGUUACUUGCAAGCAGUGGGGUUUCAAGCAUCACUCUCAGAUUCCAGUUUGUUUGUGAAGAAGAGUGGUGAUGAUGUGGUCAUUCUUUUGUUGUAUGUUGAUGAUAUAAUCAUCACAGGAUCUAGCUCUACACUGGUUCAAUCUGUGAUAGACACUUUGGGUGCAGUCUUUGAUCUCAAAGACAUGGGAAAAUUGGCCUAUUUUUUGGGACUUCAAGUGGAAUACAAGAUUAAUGGUGAUAUAUUUGUUAACCAAGCCAAGUAUGUUAAGGAUCUUAUACAUAAGGCUGGGAUGGAUGAUUGCAAGCCUUGUGCAACACCUUGCAAACCUCACAAUCAAGUUCUUACUACUGAGGGUACUCUUCUUUCUGAUCCAACACACUAUAGAAGUUUGGUUGGAGCAUUGCAAUAUCUAACCUUCACUAGGCCAGAUAUUGCAUUUGCUGUUAAUACUGUUUGUCAAUAUAUGAACUCACCAACAGAUGUUCAUUUUGGUAUGGUUAAACGUAUUUUACGAUUUCUGCAAGGGACUCUCCGUUGUGGUCUUACAUAUACAUCAGGGACUUCCAUGGCAUUGUCUGCAUUCAGUGAUUCAGACUGGGCUGCUGAUCUCAACACUUGACGGUCUAUCACAGGAUAUGUUGUUUAUUUGGGGGAAAAUCCGAUAUCUUGGCAAUCAAAGAAGCAAGCUUCUGUUUCAAGGAGUUCUACCGAGGCAGAGUAUAGGGCUCUUGCACAUACAGCUGCUGAUAUAGCAUGGAUCAGGCUCAUUCUUCGAGAUGUCCACCAGUUCCUGUCUUCACCUCCCUUAAUUCAUUGUGAUAAUCAGUCGGCCAUAGCACUUAGCUUGAAUCCAGUUCAGCGUUCUCGGAUCAAACAUUUGGAAACUGACUUCCAUUUUGUUCGAGAGAGGGUAUAGAAGGGUGACUUGGUGAUUCAAUAUGUUUCAACAAAAGAUCAGGUUGCUGAUGUUCUCACGAAAGGUCUUCAUGGUCCUGAUUUCCUUCACCAUUGUUUCAAUCUUAAGCUUGCCUAUCCCAGCUAAGAUUGAGGGGGGGUAUUGGAUAUAUAUGCCAGGUGUAUUGGAUAUGAUGAUAGGUGUAUUGAAUGUAUGCUAGGUCAUUAAAGACUGCCACAUCAGCAGCAGCUUAGGACAUAGACCAUUGUUUGGUGAACCGCCUAUAUAGAGUAAUAGCUCCUUGUAUUAGAUAAGUUUGGUUGUAAUAACAGUUUUUUGAGAUAUCAGAAAUACAUCUUUCUUCUCCUCUAAGCUUCUUCGUGCUUUUCAAUUCUGCAAUUCUUUCAUGAAGGUUAAGA